CAAAUCNCAAAAGACAGUCUCAGUUCAGAUUGUAGGCUGAAACUCGCCUAUAUGAAGUCGGAAUUGCUAGUAAUCGCGGAUCAGCAUGCCGCGGUGAAUACGUUCCCGGGCCUUGUACACACCGCCCGUCACACCAUGAGAGUCGAUAACACCCGAAGUCGGUAGUCUAACCGCAAGGAGGACGCCGCCGAAGGUGGGGUUGAUGAUUAGGGUUAAGUCGUAACAAGGUAUC
This 232-nucleotide ribosomal RNA is filed under the name uncultured bacterium. Its description in RNAcentral is "partial 16S ribosomal RNA". It matches the Rfam family "Bacterial small subunit ribosomal RNA", at positions 1268 to 1500 of the family's 1533-position model. The record is from RNAcentral.